GAGACAGAGAGGAUGAGGGCAGCUGAGGAACAGCAAAUUCGUGAAUCACCUCUUCCCUGUAUGCUGAAAAUUUUGAAUGAGAAGUGACACCGUGAAAGGCGUGGAGAAGCAAGUUCCAUUUGGAUACAACAUUAGCAGAAAGAACCUGGGGAGCUGCUCAAGGGGAAAAACUGCUUCUUGCUGGUACUACCUAAGAAAAUUGUGAAGAAUUUGGUGACAGAAAGAAGAGGGAGAAGGAGAGAAGAAUGUUGGGACAUUGACAAACUUACUCAUGGGGAGGCAGGAACUUAUCAUCUGUACAGAAAAAUAGUCAGUCUGUUGCAUUUCUGGUUAUCUGGAACUCACAGAACUCUCCUGAACGCAGCAGGACCACAGUGCUUGAUUUGAGCUCCCUGUUGCGUGUGUGUGUGUGUGUGUGUGUGUGUGUGUGUGUGUGUUAUAGUCCAGGUUCAUUAAAAACCAGUGCAUCUAUGGUG
Suricata suricatta (meerkat) is the source of this 476-nucleotide long non-coding RNA. RefSeq lists it as uncharacterized. The transcript has 3 exons. NCBI's taxonomy places the organism in Eukaryota, Metazoa, Chordata, Mammalia, Carnivora, Herpestidae. The record is from RefSeq and is a predicted model, not a curated record.